Molecule: ribosomal RNA, 310 nt
Filed under: uncultured bacterium
Lineage: Bacteria
Description: bacterial SSU rRNA
Rfam family: Bacterial small subunit ribosomal RNA
Source: RNAcentral
GAUGAACGCUAGCGACAGGCUUAACACAUGCAAGUCGAGGGGCAGCACAGGUAGCAAUACCGGGUGGCGACCGGCGCACGGGUGAGUAACGCGUAUGCAACUUACCUAUCAGAGGGGGAUAACCCGGCGAAAGUCGGACUAAUACCGCAUAAAGCAGGGAUCCCGCAUGGGAAUAUUUGCUAAAGAUUCAUCGCUGAUAGAUAGGCAUGCGUUCCAUUAGGCAGUUGGCGGGGUAACGGCCCACCAAACCGACGAUGGAUAGGGGUUCUGAGAGGAAGGUCCCCCACAUUGGUACUGAGACACGGACCAA